CAGCAGCCGCGGGAAUACGUAGGUGGCAAGCGUUGUCCGGAAUUAUUGGGCGUAAAGGGCUCGCAGGCGGUUUCUUAAGUCUGAUGUGAAAGCCCCCGGCUCAACCGGGGAGGGUCAUUGGAAACUGGGAAACUUGAGUGCAGAAGAGGAGGGUGGAAUUCCACGUGUAGCGGUGAAAUGCGUAGAGAUGUGGAGGAACACCAGUGGCGAAGGCGACUCUCUGGUCUGUAACUGACGCUGAGGAGCGAAAGCGUGGGGAGCGAACAGGAUUAGAUACCCCAGUAGUCCCUGUCUCUUAUAC
Molecule: ribosomal RNA, 301 nt
Filed under: uncultured bacterium
Lineage: Bacteria
Description: partial 16S ribosomal RNA
Rfam family: Bacterial small subunit ribosomal RNA
Source: RNAcentral